This 2031-nucleotide long non-coding RNA is filed under the name Marmota monax (woodchuck). The record is from RNAcentral. Lineage: Eukaryota; Metazoa; Chordata; Mammalia; Rodentia; Sciuridae.
UAAUUUAUAAGUUUUACAAAGGAUUUUGAGAGUCUUUGUUGAACCCUCUAAAUCAGGGAUGAUAAAAAGUUAGAUAUAAUGUUCUUACAUAUACCUUGUUAAUGUUGAUUAUGUAAUACGACUAUCAUAAUUUUUCUUUUAUCUUACACUUAAUACAUUGCAACAUCAAAUUUAAAACAAGAUUGUAAUAUUAAAUAUAUGUGCCAGCCAUAUGCUGGUAAUCCUAGUGACUCGGGAAGCUGAGGCAGUAGGAUCACAAGUUUGAGACUAGCCUCAGCAACUCAGUGAGGUCUUCUGCUGACCCUGUGUCAAAAUAAAAAAUAAAAAAGGGAUGGAGAUAUAGUACAGUGGUAAAACACCCUGGGUUCACUCUCCAGUAUUUAAAAAAAGGAUAAUAUUUAAUUUAUAAUUUGUAAGGGAUUCUGACAUCCUGACAUUGAUCCUUCUAUCAGUAUUUAAUUUUUCUUAAUUAAGUAUAUUGUUUUUGAUUUCUUCUUAUUGCAUAUCAUAUUACUCACUAUCUAUUCUCUCAUUUAUCUAAAUUUCAUUUGGUUAAAAUUACCCUAUUCCCAUAAUUUUAAGAAUUAUGAAGAUUUAUGAAGCUUAUUACAUAAAAAGUAGCUUCUAGCCUUAGUCCUUCCCCAGCUUUUCUGGAGGUGAUCAUUUUAAAUGUUUUAUCUGAUUUCUUGGUAUUUAUAUUAAUAACAUGUUUACUUUGCUACUUAAUGAUUUUUUAAAUAAAAAAUUUGAUAUGAUAAUUAUAUAUAUUUAUGGACACAGUGUGAUGAUUAUAUAUAUAUAUAUAUAUAUAUAUAUAUAUAUAACGAUCAAGUCAGGUAAUUAAGUUUUCAAUCUUCCUAACACUUAUGAUUUCUUUGUUUUGGCAACCUCCAAGAACUUAAAUGUUAUUUUUUAGAAUUUUGAGCAGGCAUAGUAAACUUCCUACUUAAAAGAAUAAGGAUUUAGCUCUGUUUCAUUUUUCUGUGUCCCCAACAUACUCAAUUUCCCCAUAUUUAUCCACCCAUCCAAUAUAUUUAUUUAUAUAUAUGUAUACAUAUAUAUAAAUUUAUUUAAUUUUAAAUUCAGAAUUUAUAUUAACAAAUCUAUAUAAACACUAUUCACACCUGACCCAUAUAGUAUCAUAUCAUUACUUUGUUCUUCUGUGCAACAUUUGUUCCUUCUUUAAUAGUUGUCAUUUAUAUAUUUGGUUGGUUUUUUAAAAGUGUAUUUAUUAUUGACUUGACCCCAAACGUUGCCAGAUGAGUUAAAAAUCCUCUUCAUAAUUUUGACUGCACCUGGUUUUCUAUCAGUUUUGUGCUCUUGAAAAAAUUUUCCUUAGAGUACUCUGAAAGGUGUAGAGACCAACAAAUAGCAUAUUGGAAAACUGAAAUGGAUUUUUUUGAUCUCUACAUCUUGUGUACAACUGUCAUCCUGGGGUCUCCUUUACUCACAUUUUGGAGACUCUUUUUACUUCUGUAUCAGAUUCUUUUCUCACAUUUGUCUGAUAGUUUGGCAUGGGAUUUUAGAUUGGAAAUAGUUUUUUUUCUACGAAGCUUGGAUUUUCUGGUUUCCUUUUUUCUUUUUCUUUCUUCUUCCCUCAGUCCCCACCCCCCUCACUUUCUUCCUUUCCUCCUUUUAUUAGUACUGGAAAUUAAACCCAGGGCACUUUACUACUGAGCUACAUCUCUAGUCCCUUUUUUUUUUUUUUUUGAGACAGGGUCUUGCUAAAUUGCUGAGGCUGUCCUUAAACUUGUGAUUCUCUUGCCUCAGCUACUCAGGAGCUGGAAUUAUAGGCGUGGACCACCAUACCCAGUGGAUUUUCUAGAUUUCCAUGUUGCUGUUGAAAUCUUAAAUUCAUCUAAUUCUUGACCCUUCUGUUGUACCUGAUUUUUCUCUUUCAAGUUUAUGGAAUAUUUUCUUUUCAUUAAUUGUACUAAAUUUUUAGUAAUGCGUACCUUGAAAUAUGUUUCCUUGUAACUGUGUGCUGUGUAUGUGUUCUUUGAUUCUGGAAAAUAAAAAAUGUCAUUUAGU